GACGGAGGAUGCAAGUGUUAUCCGGAAUCACUGGGCGUAAAGCGUCUGUAGGUGGUUUAGUAAGUCAACUGUUAAAUCUUGAAGCUUAACUUCAAAAUUGCAAUCGAAACUAUUAGACUAGAGUAUAGUAAGGGUAACAGGAAUUUUCAGUGGAGCGGUGAAAUGUGUAGAUAUUGAAAGGAACAUCAGUGGCGAAAGCGUUUUACUAGGUUAAUACUGACACUCAGAAACUAAAGCUAGGGGAGCAAAUGGG
Molecule: ribosomal RNA, 253 nt
Filed under: uncultured bacterium
Lineage: Bacteria
Description: partial 16S ribosomal RNA
Rfam family: Bacterial small subunit ribosomal RNA
Source: RNAcentral